AAAUGAAUAGACGGGGGCUCACACAAGCGGUGGAGCAUGUGGCUUAAUUCGAAGCAACGCGAAGAACCUUACCUAGGCUUGACAUGCACGGAUAAACUCUAUGAAAGUAGAGGUACACCCGCAAGGGCGGAACGUGCACAGGUGCUGCAUGGCUGUCGUCAGCUCGUGCUGUGAAGUGUCGGGUUAAGUCCCUCAACGAGCGCAACCCCUGUCGCUACUUGCUAACGCGUAAUGGCGAGGACUGUAGCGAGACUGCCGGUGUCAAACCGGAGGAAGGUGGGGAUGACGUCAAGUCCUCAUGGCCUUUAUGUCUAGGGCUGCACACGUGCUACAAUGGUAUGUACAGAACGAUGCAAGACCGCAAGGUGGAGCAAAUCGCCAAAACAUACCCCAGUUCAGAUUGUGGGCUGAAAUUCGCCCGCAUGAAGUCGGAAUCGCUAGUAAUCGCGAAUCAGCUACGUCGCGGUGAAUAUGUUCCUGAGCCUUGUACACACCGCCCGU
This 501-nucleotide ribosomal RNA is filed under the name uncultured bacterium. RNAcentral describes it as "bacterial SSU rRNA". It matches the Rfam family "Bacterial small subunit ribosomal RNA", at positions 903 to 1397 of the family's 1533-position model. The record is from RNAcentral.